UNUGGGGCACCUGAAUGGAGCACGCCGCGUGCAGGAUGAAGGCCUUCGGGUUGUAAACUGCUUUUAUAAGUGAGGAAUAUGACGGUAACUUAUGAAUAAGGAUCGGCUAACUACGUGCCAGCAGCCGCGGUCAUACGUAGGAUCCGAGCGUUAUCCGGAGUGACUGGGCGUAAAGAGUUGCGUAGGUGGUUUGUAAAGCGAAUAGUGAAAUCUGGCGGCUCAACCGUACAGGCUAUUAUUCGAACUCACAAACUCGAGAAUGGUAGGGGUCACUGGAAUUUCUUGUGUAGGAGUGAAAUCCGUAGAUAUAAGAAGGAACACCAAUGGCGUAGGCAGGUGACUGGACCAUUUCUGACACUGAGGCACGAAAGCGUGGGGAGCGAACCGGAUUAGAUACCCGGGUAGUCCACGCCGUAAACGAUGGAUACUAGUUGUUGGGGGUAUCGACCCCCUCAGUAACGAAGCUAACGCGUUAAGUAUCCCGCCUGUGGAGUACGGUCGCAAGACUAAAACAUAAAGGAAUUGACGGGGACCCGCACAAGCGGUGGAUCGUGUUCUUUAAUUCGAUGCUAAACGAAGAACCUUACCAGGGUUUGACAUCCUUGGAAUUUCUGCGAAAGUAGAAAGUGCUUUAUUGAACCAAGUGACAGGUGAUGCAUGGCCGUCGUCAGCUCGUGUCGUGAGAUGUUUGGUUAAGUCCAUCAACGAGCGCAACCCUUGUGAAUAGUUGAAUUUUUCUAUUCAGACUGCCCCGGUAACGGGGAGGAAGGAGGGGAUGAUGUCAGGUCAGUAUUUCCCUUACAUCCUGGGCUAGAAACACGAUACAAUGGCAAGUACAAUGCGCAGCGAAGCCGCGAGGUGGAGCAAAUCGCAUCAAAGCUUGUCCCAGUUCGG
RNAcentral lists this ribosomal RNA (894 nucleotides) under uncultured bacterium. RNAcentral describes it as "bacterial SSU rRNA". It matches the Rfam family "Bacterial small subunit ribosomal RNA", at positions 372 to 1296 of the family's 1533-position model. The record is from RNAcentral.